CACAUGGCAGAUUCGGGUGUUAGUCCUAUGUCUUCUAACUUUAUAACAGUAUACUGGUUUUUUUCAUGUUUUUAUUAAAAUGUUUUCUUAAGUCCUUAGCCAAAGAUUUUUGUUUGACAAGUCAAAAAUACGGUCUUGUUUACUUUACUUUUUUAUAUUCAAGAUUUAACUCAGAGUAAGACCAAAUUAUGAUUGUAGUUAAUUUUAUAGAUAUAAAUAUAUAAAUAAUUUUUUUAAUUGUUUAUGUUUUUUAAAAUUUCUAUUAAAAGUAAAAGUAGAUGGCUGGGCGUGGUAGCUCACACCUGUAAUCCCAGCACUUUGGGAGGCCGAGGCAGGCGGAUCAGGAGGUCAGGAGAUCGAGAUUAUCAUGGCUAACACAGUGAAACCCUGUCUCUACUAAAAAUAGAAAAAAAUUAGCCGGGCAUGGUGGCGGGCGCCUAUAGUCCCAGUUACUUGGGAGGCUGAAGCAGGAGAAUGGCGUGAACCCAGGAGGCGGAGCUUGCAGUGAACCGAGAUCACACCACUGCACUCCAGACUAGGUGAGAGAGGGAGACUCCCUCUCAACAACAAAAAAAAGAAAAGAAAAGCAGAGCAUGAGCCACCACCCCUGGCCUAAUUUAAUUAAAAUCUGAACAAAAGGCAGGGCAUGGUGGCUCAUGCCUGUAAUCUCAGGCCAAGGCACGUGGAUCGUGUGAGGUCAGGAGUUCGAGACCAUCCUAGGCAAUGUGGUGAAACUCUGUCUCUACUAAAAGUAAAAAAUUAGCCAGGUGUGAUGGCAGGCACCUGUAAUCCCAGCUACUUGGGAGGCUGAGGCAGGAGAAUCACUUGAACCCAGGAGUCGGAGGUUGCAGUGAGUGGAGAUCGCACCACUGCACUCCAGCUUAGGCAACAGAGCGAGACUCCAUCUCAACAGCAAUAACAACAAAAAUCUGAACAAAAAUGCUCAUUUAUGUUCUUCUCCUUAUCUGUGGUGUUUUAAAGUCAUUAAACUUAUGAUUAAAAGUCAUUAAAUGAUGUUUAGGAGAAGAUGAGUAUAUUUGUGUAGUGUAUCAUAACUCUGAUGUUAUUUUAUACAAGGAGUGUCUUAGAGUUUUCAGUUGUAACCAUGCAGAAAAUCUACAAAAUAAAAGCAGUUGUUAAUUAGUCCUUUACAAUCAGAAUUGUCUAUUUUGGAAAUUUAUGAAGUACUUCAGAUUUAAUUUAAGAAAUUGUAUUUGAGCCAGGUACGGUGGCUCACACCUGUUAUCCCAGCAUUUUAGGAGCCUGAGGCAGGUGGAUCACGAGGUCAAGAGUUCGAGACCAGCCUGACCAACAUGGCAAAACCCCAUCUCAACUAAAAAUACAAAAAUUAGCUGGGUGUGGUGUGGCGUGCGCCUAUAAUCCCAGCUACUCAGGAGGCUGAGUCAGGAGAAUCACCUUAACCCAGGAGGCGGAGGUUGCAGUGAGCCGAGAUCACACCACUGUACUCACUGCACUCCAGCCUGGGUGACAGAGUGAGACUCUGUCUCAACAACAGCAAAAAAAGAAAUUGUAUUCGAAAGGUAAAGAACCUUUUUGUUUAAAUUCUAAUUUGAAGAUAAAAUAUUAUAUAAAAAUUCUCAGUUUUUAUCCAGCAACAUUUUGUUCCCAAUAUACGAUACAUAGUGGAUAGAACUAAAUGCCAGCAUUUACAUGGAAACACUGUCUUGGUGCUUUUAAAAAUCAUUUAUCAAGCUCUUAACUUGUUUUCUUUAUUUCCUUUCAACCAUUGCAUGAAAGACUUCACCAAAUAUAUAAUUUUUGAUUCCACUAAAAAUAUUCCAGGACCUAACACAAAUGCUUAGAAUAUUUAUUGAAUGAGACCAGGCGCAGUGGCUCAUGCCUGUAAUCUCCCAGGACUCUGGGAGGCCCAGGCGGGCAGAUCACGAGGUCAGGAGAUCGAGACCAUCCUGGCUAACACAGUGAAAACCUUGUCUCUACUAAAAAAUACAAAAAAUUAGCCAGGCAUGGUGGUGGGCGCCUGUAGUCCCAGCUACUCGGGAGGCUGAGGCAGUAGAAUGGCGUGAACCUGGGAGGUGGAGCUUGCAGUGAGCCAAGAUCGCGCCACUGCACUCCAGCCUGGGCGAUAAAGGAAGACUCUGUCUCAAAAAAAAAAAAAA
This 2138-nucleotide long non-coding RNA is filed under the name Macaca fascicularis (crab-eating macaque). RNAcentral's name for it is "lncRNA (ENSMFAG00000057454.1)". Lineage: Eukaryota; Metazoa; Chordata; Mammalia; Primates; Cercopithecidae. The record is from RNAcentral.